Molecule: ribosomal RNA, 465 nt
Filed under: Vreelandella stevensii
Lineage: Bacteria; Pseudomonadati; Pseudomonadota; Gammaproteobacteria; Oceanospirillales; Halomonadaceae
Description: partial 16S ribosomal RNA
Rfam family: Bacterial small subunit ribosomal RNA
Source: RNAcentral
CCUACGGGUGGCAGCAGUGGGGAAUAUUGGACAAUGGGCGAAAGCCUGAUCCAGCCAUGCCGCGUGUGUGAAGAAGGCCUUCGGGUUGUAAAGCACUUUCAGUGGGGAAGAAAGCCUUGGGGCUAAUACCCUCGAGGAAGGACAUCACCCACAGAAGAAGCACCGGCUAACUCCGUGCCAGCAGCCGCGGUAAUACGGAGGGUGCGAGCGUUAAUCGGAAUUACUGGGCGUAAAGCGCGCGUAGGCGGUCUGAUAAGCCGGUUGUGAAAGCCCCGGGCUCAACCUGGGAACGGCAUCCGGAACUGUCAGGCUAGAGUGCAGGAGAGGAAGGUAGAAUUCCUGGUGUAGCGGUGAAAUGCGUAGAGAUCGGGAGGAAUACCAGUGGCGAAGGCGGCCUUCUGGACUGACACUGACGCUGAGGUGCGAAAGCGUGGGUAGCAAACAGGAUUAGAUACCCCGGUAGUC